GUUGUUUCAAAACUGAAACCCAUGAUGAAUGUUAAGCCUACAGUGACCUACUACAGGAUGUGGAACUGAGCAGCAGAAGCAGUUUCCUGUCAACAAAGAGAGAAGCGCUGAGAAACUUGGCACUCUUGCCACUCAUCUGCUUGAAACAACGCAAAGAAAGGAAUGUGUGAAAAGGAGCGAGUAAAGAAGGAAAACAAGAAUGGAUCAAAAGAGUGAAAAGAGAAUUUCAAAAUGGCCCACUUGCAUCAAAUGUUGUGUUUGGCUUUAUUUUGACGGUCCUGGAAAGUUGGCUGGACUUUGCUUGGUCUUGGUCUUGGCCUCAGUCCUGAUCAUAAAAUGGAUCAUGGAUCAACAAAGUCCUUCUACAGGGCCCCAGUUUCCAUGUGUAUCAUCCUUCAUUCAGUGGCCAAGAGAAUAUUGCAGGCCGAGAGAUAAAAGUCCACGUUUUGAGAUGUGGAGGUGGAAAUGGUCAGACAUAUAUCAGCUAGGAAAUUAUAAUUUUCAUCUGCUAGGAGGGUUGUGUUUGGGACUCUGAUGAACUUUUACUUACUUUUUCUGCAGGAUUUUGCAUUGGCACCGCCUUGCUUCUCUCUUUUCUCAUUUUUUCCAGUUUGAUUAAAAACAUGCAAAGUCUG
Long non-coding RNA from Astatotilapia calliptera (eastern happy), 635 nucleotides. Lineage: Eukaryota; Metazoa; Chordata; Actinopteri; Cichliformes; Cichlidae. The record is from Ensembl.